RNAcentral lists this ribosomal RNA (440 nucleotides) under uncultured bacterium. RNAcentral's name for it is "partial 16S ribosomal RNA". It matches the Rfam family "Bacterial small subunit ribosomal RNA", at positions 338 to 795 of the family's 1533-position model. The record is from RNAcentral.
CCUACGGGGGGCAGCAGUGGGGAAUAUUGCACAAUGGGGGAAACCCUGAUGCAGCGACGCCGCGUGAGUGAAGAAGUAUCUCGGUAUGUAAAGCUCUAUCAGCAGGGAAGAAAAUGACGGUACCUGACGAAGAAGCCACGGCUAACUACGUGCCAGCAGCCGCGGUAAUACGUAGGGGGCAAGCGUUAUCCGGAUUUACUGGGGGUAAAGGGAGCGUAGACGGCGCUGCAAGUCCGGAGUGAAAGCCCAUGGCUUAACCAUGGGACUGCUCUGGAAACUGUGGAGCUUGAGUGCGGGAGGGGCAGGCGGAAUUCCUCGUGUCGCUGUGAAAUGCGUAGAUCUUAGGAGGAACCCCGGCGGCGACGGCGGCCUGCUGGACCGUAACUGACGUUGAGGCUCGAAAGCGUGGGGAGCAAACAGGAUUAGCUACCCGUGUAGUC